Molecule: ribosomal RNA, 500 nt
Filed under: uncultured bacterium
Lineage: Bacteria
Description: partial 16S ribosomal RNA
Rfam family: Bacterial small subunit ribosomal RNA
Source: RNAcentral
AUUGAACGCUGGCGGAAUGCUUUACACAUGCAAGUCGAGCGGCAGCACGGGGGCAACCCUGGUGGCGAGUGGCGAACGGGUGAGUAAUACAUCGGAACGUGCCCAGUCGUGGGGGAUAACGUAGCGAAAGUUACGCUAAUACCGCAUACGAUCUACGGAAGAAAGCGGGGGACCGUAAGGCCUCGCGCGAUUGGAGCGGCCGAUGUCAGGUUAGGUAGUUGGUGAGGUAAAGGCUCACCAAGUCGCAGAUCUGUGGCUGGUCUGGGAGGACGACCAGCCACACUGGGACGGAGACACGGCCCAGACUCCUGCGGGAGGCAGCCGUGGGGAAUAUUGGACAAUGGGCGCAAGCCUGAUCCAGCCAUUCCGCGUGCAGGACGAAGGCCUUCGGGUUGUAAACUGCUUUUGUACGGAACGAAAAGGCUCUGGUUAAUACCUGGGGCUCAUGACGGUACCGUAAGAAUAAGCACCGGCUAACUACGUGCCAGCAGCCGCAGUAA